This 379-nucleotide ribosomal RNA is filed under the name uncultured Oscillospiraceae bacterium. RNAcentral's name for it is "bacterial SSU rRNA". It matches the Rfam family "Bacterial small subunit ribosomal RNA", at positions 355 to 746 of the family's 1533-position model. The record is from RNAcentral. Lineage: Bacteria; Bacillati; Bacillota; Clostridia; Eubacteriales; Oscillospiraceae.
UGGGGAAUAUUGGGGCAAAUGGGGCGCAAGCCUGACCCAGCAACGCCGCGUGAAGGAAGAAGGCUUUCGGGUUGUAAACUUCUUUUGUCAGGGACGAAGCAAGUGACGGUACCUGACGAAUAAGCCACGGCUAACUACGUGCCAGCAGCCGCGGUAAUACAUAGGUGGCAAGCGUUAUCCGGAUUUACUGGGUGUAAAGGGCGUGUAGGCGGGAAAGCAAGUCAGAUGUGAAAACUGUGGGCUCAACCCACAGCCUGCAUUUGAAACUGUUUUUCUGAGUACUGGAGAGGCAGAUGGAAUUCCUAGUGUAGCGGUGAAAUGCGUAGAUAUUUCGCAGAACGCCGAUUGCGAAGGCAGCCGCCCAGGGACGCACUGACGC